This 85-nucleotide transfer RNA is filed under the name Betaproteobacteria bacterium. RNAcentral's name for it is "tRNA-Leu". The record is from RNAcentral. Lineage: Bacteria; Pseudomonadati; Pseudomonadota; Betaproteobacteria.
GCCCGCGUGGAUAAGGGAAGCUGGUACAACCGGAACACUCAAAACGUUCUAUUCUGUGUGAGUUCGAAUCUCGCCGUGGGCACCA